UACGUAGGGGGCAAGCGUUGUCCGGAUUUAUUGGGCGUAAAGAGCGUGUAGGCGGCCGCACAGGUCCGUUGUGAAAACUGGAGGCUUAACCUUCAGACGGCGAUGGAAACCGUGCGGCUAGAGUCCGGAAGAGGAGAAUGGAAUUCCUGGUGUAGCGGUGAAAUGCGCAGAUAUCAGGAAGAACACCCGUGGCUAAGGCGGUUCUCUAGUACGGUACUGACGCUGAGACGCGAAAGCGUGGGGAGCGAACAGG
This 253-nucleotide ribosomal RNA is filed under the name uncultured bacterium. RNAcentral's name for it is "partial 16S ribosomal RNA". It matches the Rfam family "Bacterial small subunit ribosomal RNA", at positions 524 to 776 of the family's 1533-position model. The record is from RNAcentral.